UACGAACUGUGCGAACGUUAUUCGGAAUCACUGGGCUUAAAGGGUGCGUAGGCGGCUGCUUAAGUCAGGUGUGAAAUCCCCCGGCUCAACCGGGGAAUUGCGCUUGAGACUGGACAGCUUGAGUCAGGCAGGGGUGUGCGGAACUUCCAGUGGAGCGGUGAAAUGUGUUGAGAUUGGAAGGAACGCCGGCGGCGAAAGCGGCACACUGGGCCUUUUCUGACGCUGAGGCACGAAAGCCAGGGGAGCGAACGGG
RNAcentral lists this unclassified non-coding RNA (253 nucleotides) under uncultured Planctomycetales bacterium. RNAcentral describes it as "contains 16S-23S intergenic spacer region". It matches the Rfam family "Bacterial small subunit ribosomal RNA", at positions 524 to 776 of the family's 1533-position model. The record is from RNAcentral. Lineage: Bacteria; Pseudomonadati; Planctomycetota; Planctomycetia; Planctomycetales.